GGGGAUUUAGCUCAGUGGUAAAGCGCUUGCCUAGCAAGUGCAAGGCCCUGGGUUCGAUUCCCAGCUCCG
This 69-nucleotide transfer RNA is filed under the name Rattus norvegicus (Norway rat). It matches the Rfam family "tRNA". Rfam says of the family: Transfer RNA (tRNA) molecules are approximately 80 nucleotides in length. Their secondary structure includes four short double-helical elements and three loops (D, anti-codon, and T loops). Lineage: Eukaryota; Metazoa; Chordata; Mammalia; Rodentia; Muridae. The record is from Rfam by way of RNAcentral.